Non-coding RNA from Phrynosoma platyrhinos (Desert horned lizard), 72 nucleotides. Lineage: Eukaryota; Metazoa; Chordata; Lepidosauria; Squamata; Phrynosomatidae. The record is from the annotation of a GenBank genome assembly.
GCCAGUGUGAUGUAGUGGUUUGAGUAUCAGACUUGUACUUUGGAGACCAAGGUUCACAUCCCUGUUCAGACA